This 624-nucleotide long non-coding RNA is filed under the name Ananas comosus (pineapple). Its description in RNAcentral is "long non-coding RNA (ACOM_LNC001471)". Lineage: Eukaryota; Viridiplantae; Streptophyta; Magnoliopsida; Poales; Bromeliaceae. The record is from RNAcentral.
GAUAGUUUUUUUUUUUUUUUUUUUUUUUUUUUUUUUUUUUUUUUUUUUUUGAGAGAGAGAGAUAGGUAGCGCGCUACCUGCUUCGUUUAUUUCAUUUAGAAAUAAACUUAGAUGGAAAUGUGAAUCAGCUAGAAUUCGAACUUGAGACCUCGGGUAUCAACCACCAAACCCUUUGCUACUUACUCUAGGGACGAUCGGUAUAUUCAGAUAGUAUUUGGACAAGGUAAGAUGUUAAACAUGUAGAGUUCCCCUGUAACUCUAGAACAACCCUAACCUAUAAAUUCAAGGCAUGAAGCUCCCAAAAUGUCUGUAGAAAAUAACAAAAUAAUCUUUGUUUAUGACUUAGGGUCUGUUUUGCUUCACUUUUGGAUGCCUAUUUUAUGCAAAGCGAGCCAUAUCAAGUAUGUGAUGAAGUUUUACGCGAGUAAUUUUCAUGACACCAUCUUUGCGCAGGAAUGGAAUUCAUGCCGGAUAAUCAAACUCAAAAGCAGAACUAUGCUGACCAGUAUUAUGCACUUUAACUUAUUAACGGUUGUGCCAGUCACGCCGACAAGACUAAAUAGUUUCUUCUUAUCUGUUUGGCCUAAUUUCUCAAACAACGAAUUUAUAAAAGAAAAGUAGUAA